Molecule: small nuclear RNA, 102 nt
Filed under: Marmota monax (woodchuck)
Lineage: Eukaryota; Metazoa; Chordata; Mammalia; Rodentia; Sciuridae
Source: RNAcentral
GUGCUUGCUUCAGCAGUAUAUAUACUAAAAUUGGAACAAUACAGAGAAUGUUAGCAUGGCCCCUGCAAAAAAAAAAAAAAAAAAGAAUGAAAAAAGAAAAUU